AGUGAACGCUGGCGGUAGGCCUAACACAUGCAAGUCGAACGGCAGCACAUUAAGUGCUUGCUCUUACGGGUGGCGAGUGGCGGACGGGUGUGGCAUACAUCUGAAUCUACUUUUUCGUGGGUUAUACCGUAGGGGAACUUACGCUAAUACCGCAUACUACCUACGGGUGGAAGCAGGGGAUCUUCUGACUUUGCGCGUUUUGAUGAGCCGAUGUCGGAUUGGCUAGUUGGCGGGGUAAAGGGCCACGAAGGCUACGAUCCGUAGCUGGCAUGAGAGGAUGAUUCGCCAGAUGGGAACAGAGACACGGUCCAGACUCCGACGGGAGGACGCAGCGGGGACUCCUGCACGAUGGAGGCAAGCCUGAUACAGCAAUACCGCGGGGGUGAAGAAGGAGUUAGGGUUGUAAAGUCAUUUUGUUGGGAAAGAAAAGCAGCAGGUUACUCCCCCGCUGUUAUGACGGUACCCAAAGAAUAAGCACCGGCUAACUUCGUG
This 492-nucleotide ribosomal RNA is filed under the name uncultured bacterium. Its description in RNAcentral is "partial 16S ribosomal RNA". It matches the Rfam family "Bacterial small subunit ribosomal RNA", at positions 29 to 507 of the family's 1533-position model. The record is from RNAcentral.